RNAcentral lists this ribosomal RNA (253 nucleotides) under uncultured bacterium. Its description in RNAcentral is "partial 16S ribosomal RNA". It matches the Rfam family "Bacterial small subunit ribosomal RNA", at positions 524 to 776 of the family's 1533-position model. The record is from RNAcentral.
UACAGAGGUCUCAAGCGUUGUUCGGAUUCAUUGGGCGUAAAGGGUGCGUAGGUGGCGAGGUAAGUCGGAUGUGAAAUCUCAGGGCUCAACCCUGAAACUGCAUUCGAUACUGCCUUGCUUGAGGACUGGAGAGGAGAUUGGAAUUCACGGUGUAGCAGUGAAAUGCGUAGAUAUCGUGAGGAAGACCAGUGGCGAAGGCGGGUCUCUGGGCCACUACUGACGCUGAGAAGCGAAAGCGUGGGGAGCGAACAGG